Molecule: transfer RNA, 79 nt
Filed under: Trametes cinnabarina
Lineage: Eukaryota; Fungi; Basidiomycota; Agaricomycetes; Polyporales; Polyporaceae
Also listed under: 1 other name
Description: Pycnoporus cinnabarinus tRNA
Rfam family: tRNA
About the family: Transfer RNA (tRNA) molecules are approximately 80 nucleotides in length. Their secondary structure includes four short double-helical elements and three loops (D, anti-codon, and T loops).
Source: Rfam by way of RNAcentral
GGCCGACUAGCUCAGUUGGUUAGAGCGUGGUGCUAAUAUUGCAACGCCAAGGUCGUCGGUUCGAUCCCGGCGUUGGCCA